Molecule: unclassified non-coding RNA, 564 nt
Filed under: Hevea brasiliensis (rubber tree)
Lineage: Eukaryota; Viridiplantae; Streptophyta; Magnoliopsida; Malpighiales; Euphorbiaceae
Source: RNAcentral
CUAAAGACGAUAGGCACAGACAUUUGACCUGCUGACAUGUAGAGUGCCUUUGAGGCAGAGUUAACGAUGUGAUCAAUUGCCUGCAUGGCAAAGUUGAAGGUCAUAAACUCAAUAACAGGAUGGAGACCACGGUAUGCAGCCCCAACUCCAAUUCCAGCAAAUCCAGCCUCUGUUAUUGGAGUAUCAAUAACCCUCUCAGGACCAAAUUUGUCCAGCAAACCCUUGGAAAUCUUGUAUGCACCUUGGUACUCGCCAACCUCUUCACCCAUCAAGAAAACCUUUGGAUCAGCGGACAUUUCCUCAUCAAGGGCAGAGUUCAGAGCAUCACGCACAGUCAUCUCUUUCGUUCCGGUCGCAUAACUCCUCGGCAAAACAGCCGCUGCCGAUGGCCGGAUCCUCUCGAGCACCUUCCCCGCAGCCAAUGAGCCGAUACUCCCGCAUCGGAUCUUCCACAUCGUAUCGAUCGGGCAAGCAAAUCAAAACCCUUAAGAUCUCGAGGUUGCUGGAGGAGGGAGCGCUUCGCCUACCGGUCUUCGGAUCGAGGAUGAAAAGGAAAAGGACGGG